AGAGUUUGAUCCUGGCUCAGAUUGAACGCUGGCGGAAUGCUUUACACAUGCAAGUCGAACGGUAGAGGGGGCAACCCCUCGAGAGUGGCGAACGGGUGAGUAAUAUAUCGGAACGUGCCCAGUCGUGGGGGAUAACGUAGCGAAAGUUACGCUAAUACCGCAUACGAUCUACGGAUGAAAGCGGGGGACCGUAAGGCCUCGCGCGAUUGGAGCGGCCGAUAUCAGAUUAGGUAGUUGGUGGGGUAAAGGCUCACCAAGCCAACGAUCUGUAGCUGGUCUGAGAGGACGACCAGCCACACUGGAACUGAGACACGGUCCAGACUCCUACGGGAGGCAGCAGUGGGGAAUUUUGGACAAUGGACGCAAGUCUGAUCCAGCCAUUCCGCGUGCAGGAUGAAGGCCCUCGGGUUGUAAACUGCUUUUGUACGGAACGAAAAGGUCCCUAUUAAUACUGGGGGCUCAUGACGGUACCGUAAGAAUAAGCACCGGCUAACUACGUGCCAGCAGCCGCGGUAAUACGUAGGGUGCAAGCGUUAAUCGGAAUUACUGGGCGUAAAGCGUGCGCAGGCGGUUAUGUAAGACAGAGGUGAAAUCCCCGGGCUCAACCUGGGAACUGCCUUUGUGACUGCAUAGCUAGAGUACGGUAGAGGGGGAUGGAAUUCCGCGUGUAGCAGUGAAAUGCGUAGAUAUGCGGAGGAACACCGAUGGCGAAGGCAAUCCCCUGGACCUGUACUGACGCUCAUGCACGAAAGCGUGGGGAGCAAACAGGAUUAGAUACCCUGGUAGUCCACGCCCUAAACGAUGUCAACUGGUUGUUGGGUCUUCACUGACUCAGUAACGAAGCUAACGCGUGAAGUUGACCGCCUGGGGAGUACGG
Molecule: ribosomal RNA, 877 nt
Filed under: uncultured bacterium
Lineage: Bacteria
Description: bacterial SSU rRNA
Rfam family: Bacterial small subunit ribosomal RNA
Source: RNAcentral